GACGAACGCUGGCGGCGUGCUUAACACAUGCAAGUCGAGCGAGAAAGCGGCUUCGGCCGUGAGUACAGCGGCGAACGGGUGAGUAACACGUGGGCAACCUGCCCCAGAGAUUGGGAUAACGUCCCGAAAGGGACGCUAAUACCGAAUAACGCGUGACCUGCCAAGUGGGUCACGCCAAAUGGUAGCCUCGGCCUCUGCUCUGGGAUGGGCCCGCGCCGGAUUAGCUUGUUGGGGGGGUAACGGCCUACCAAGGCGACGAUCCGUAGCUGGUCUGAGAGGACGAUCAGCCACACUGGGACUGAGACACGGCCCAGACUCCUACGGGAGGCAGCAGUGGGGAAUCUUGCGCAAUGGGCGAAAGCCUGACGCAGCAACGCCGCGUGAGCGAAGACGGCCUUCGGGUUGUAAAGCUCUGUCAGGAGGGACGAAGCCACUCGGGUGAAUAGCCCAGAGGGUGACGGUACCUCCAGAGGAAGCCCCGGCUAACUACGUGCCAGCCGCCGCCGUAA
This 509-nucleotide ribosomal RNA is filed under the name uncultured bacterium. RNAcentral describes it as "partial 16S ribosomal RNA". It matches the Rfam family "Bacterial small subunit ribosomal RNA", at positions 28 to 523 of the family's 1533-position model. The record is from RNAcentral.